AGUACUGGCAGUUAAUAUCGGAACACAACCAAUAUGUGCACAACGACGCUGUAACGAUACCGAAUUGUCGUUAUAAAGUUAGAGAAUAGGCCUACUGGAGUGAUUUCGGUACUCUAGUCGGAAUUCAGUUGGCUGUCUGGUCAACUAUAACCUACCGAUAGACGAAGAGGGCAAAUUUUUAGAGACACGCGCGAACUGCACACACCAUGUUAUCCUUUCACCAUGCUCCUGACCCGACUGUGUAAUCGAUGGAAUGAUACAAUGUUCAGCUGAGACAUAACUUAUUAUCGAUGAUACUGAGGAUUCGCUGGUCGGCCGCGUACCAGAAAGCGUGUUUGUAAUAGAGUGAAAAAGCGCGGUUAGGAUUGCUGAUGCAAUCCUCGAGUUCUUCACCGAGUUUUAACUCGAGUAUACUUCUUGGCAUUCUUAUUUACGUUUUUGUGUUCCUAAAUUGUUUUGUUUUGGUCGUAUCACUCCCGCCCAACUAAUAUACAGGGAGUGGGUACCAUUAAUCAAGAAGAAGAAGAAGAUCGAUGAUACUUUCAGAUAGUGCUGGAAAAAA
Long non-coding RNA from Solenopsis invicta (red fire ant), 562 nucleotides. RefSeq lists it as uncharacterized. Lineage: Eukaryota; Metazoa; Arthropoda; Insecta; Hymenoptera; Formicidae. The transcript has 2 exons. The record is from RefSeq and is a predicted model, not a curated record.